Molecule: transfer RNA, 73 nt
Filed under: Mustela putorius furo (domestic ferret)
Lineage: Eukaryota; Metazoa; Chordata; Mammalia; Carnivora; Mustelidae
Rfam family: tRNA
About the family: Transfer RNA (tRNA) molecules are approximately 80 nucleotides in length.
Source: Rfam by way of RNAcentral
ACCUGGCUGGCUCAGUCAGUAGAGCAUGCAACUCUUGAUCUCAGGGUCAUGAGUUCAAGCCCCAUGUUGGGUG